Molecule: non-coding RNA, 159 nt
Filed under: Nomascus leucogenys (northern white-cheeked gibbon)
Lineage: Eukaryota; Metazoa; Chordata; Mammalia; Primates; Hylobatidae
Source: Rfam by way of RNAcentral
CCUGGGCACAGUGAUGUGUGCCUGUAGUCCCAGCUACUUGGGAGGGUGAGGCAGGAGGAUGGUUUGAAACCAGGAGUUCAAGACUGCUGUGUGCAAUGAUCGUGCUUGUGAAUAGCCACUACACUCCAGCCUAGGGAACAUAACAAGAGCCUGUCUCUA